GAGGGAGAGGAGAGAGAAAACGUGCGCACAGUGGGCAGCGGCUUUCCAGCGCGAUUUCGGCUUCAUCCGAUGUCCGAUCGAGGCGAUUCAGGUGGCGUUAGAAAGCUUGUUCCGAGAGCUUUCUUUUGAUACCCAUUUUGCAGCAAAUGGAGGUCGGAUGAGUGAGAUAUGGAGGAGAGAAGUUUCGGGUUUUUCAAGCUUUUUCGUCAGAUCUACGACGAUCCGACCGUUGGAUCGACGAUCCGAAACCACCUAUGGACUGAGGAAGAGGAGAGGAACAUGGUGGUAUGAUCAGAUCCGGCAAAUGUCGCCGACACCCGGUGGCCGGCCACCGUGCACGGUGGUUUCGGCGGUGGCUCCUGUGGGCUAUGGAGAUGAUUCAACUUCCAGAGGCUUCCUCGUAAAUUUUUGGAAUUUUUGAGACACAGAUAAACUUUGGGUGAUCGAGGUCAGCUAUUUUUCUGCAUUCAGCAGCCACAAUAGUCAUCGGUGUACUGCCACAGGAGGAGUUAUUUUACAGAGCAACCUGUUUUCUUCCUCACAGGUUUAACGUCGGUUAUUUAAUUGUUUUACUAUCUUUUCUAAAUUUAAAAAUCUAAAACUCCGCAUGUGAUAGUAAUAGUGUGGACCUUAUUAGGAAUCAUGUUAAUUUAAAUUUUUCAGAUUAAUAAAUGAAGAUUUGUAUGGUAUUUAAACAGUUUGUAAAAUGAGGUAACAGGGUUGAGCUGGGCUCCCCUAAUUUUAGUCUCUGAUGAUUUCUGGGCUAAGUUGGCCCGAAAUAAAAUUAUAACAGUUUAUUUUAAAUUAUUUUUAUAUGCAUAUUGGGCCUAAAUUGUGGGCUUGGUUAUGGGUUGAGGAAUAGUUAGGCUUACUACGGGCCUCGGGGGCUUUAGGCUGGCCCAGGUCCUAGUGCCGG
Long non-coding RNA from Hevea brasiliensis (rubber tree), 916 nucleotides. RefSeq lists it as uncharacterized. NCBI's taxonomy places the organism in Eukaryota, Viridiplantae, Streptophyta, Magnoliopsida, Malpighiales, Euphorbiaceae. The record is from RefSeq and is a predicted model, not a curated record. The transcript is spliced from 3 exons.